CGCACGAGCGCACCCCUUUCCUUAGUUGCCAUCGGGUGAUGCCGGGAACUCUGAGGAAACUGCCCGUUAUAACCCGGAGGAAGGUGGGGAUGACGUCAAGUCAUCAUGGCUCUUAUGUCUGGGGCUGCACACGUGCUACAAUGGCCGGUACAAAGGGUCGCGAUCCCGCAAGGUGGAGCCAAUCCCAAAAAACCGGUCUCAGUUGGGAUUGCGGUCUGCAACUCGACUGCAUGAACGUGGAAUUGCUAGUAAUCGCGGAUCAGCAUGCCGCGGUGAAUACGUCCCCGGGUCUUGUACACACCGCCCGUCAAGCUACAAAAGUCAGAUAUGCCUGAAGUCGCGGCCCCUAACCGCCAGGGAAGGGAGCUGCCAACGUAAAGCUGGCUGAUCGAGCUAAUCCUAACAAGGUAACCGUACCGGAAAGUGCGGCUGGAUCA
This 437-nucleotide ribosomal RNA is filed under the name uncultured bacterium. RNAcentral's name for it is "bacterial SSU rRNA". It matches the Rfam family "Bacterial small subunit ribosomal RNA", at positions 1088 to 1525 of the family's 1533-position model. The record is from RNAcentral.